GACGAACGCUGGCGGCGUGCCUAACACAUGCAAGUCGAACGGAAAGGCCCUGCUUUUGUGGGGUGCUCGAGUGGCGAACGGGUGAGUAACACUUGAGUAACCUGCCCUUGACUUUGGGAUAUCUUCAUGCAACUGGGGCUAAUACCGGCUAGGAGCUCCUGCUGCUUGGUGGGGGUUGGAAGGUUUCGGCGGUUGGGGAUGGACUCGCGGCUUAUCAGCUUGUUGGUUGGGUGGUGGCUUACCAAGGCUUUGACGGGUAGCCGGCCUGAGAGGGUGGCCGGCCACAUUGGGACUGAGAUACGGCACAGACUCCUACGGGAGGCAGCAGUGGAGUAUAUUGCACAAUGGGCGGAAGCCUGAUGCAGCAACGCCGCGUGCGGGAUGACGGCCAUCGGGUUGUAAACCGCUUUCGCCUGUGACGAAGCGUGAGUGACGGUAAUGGGUAAAGAAGCACCGGCUAACUACGUG
Molecule: ribosomal RNA, 468 nt
Filed under: uncultured bacterium
Lineage: Bacteria
Description: partial 16S ribosomal RNA
Rfam family: Bacterial small subunit ribosomal RNA
Source: RNAcentral